GUUUGAUCCUGGCUCAGAUUGAACGCUGGCGGCAUGCCUUACACAUGCAAGUCGAACGGUAACAGGUCUUCGGAUGCUGACGAGUGGCGAACGGGUGAGUAAUACAUCGGAACGUGCCCGAUCGUGGGGGAUAACGAAGCGAAAGCUUUGCUAAUACCGCAUACGAUCUACGGAUGAAAGCAGGGGACCGCAAGGCCUUGCGCGAACGGAGCGGCCGAUGGCAGAUUAGGUAGUUGGUGGGAUAAAAGCUUACCAAGCCGACGAUCUGUAGCUGGUCUGAGAGGACGACCAGCCACACUGGGACUGAGACACGGCCCAGACUCCUACGGGAGGCAGCAGUGGGGAAUUUUGGACAAUGGGCGAAAGCCUGAUCCAGCCAUGCCGCGUGCAGGAUGAAGGCCUUCGGGUUGUAAACUGCUUUUGUACGGAACGAAAAGACUCUGGUUAAUACCUGGGGUCCAUGACGGUACCGUAAGAAUAAGCACCGGCUAACUACCGUGCCAGCCAGCCGCGGUAAUACGUAAGGGUGCAAGCGUAAAUCGGGAAUUACUGGGCGUAAAGCGUGCGCAGGCGGUUAUAUA
This 581-nucleotide ribosomal RNA is filed under the name Acidovorax sp. B0447. RNAcentral's name for it is "bacterial SSU rRNA". It matches the Rfam family "Bacterial small subunit ribosomal RNA", at positions 11 to 585 of the family's 1533-position model. Lineage: Bacteria; Pseudomonadati; Pseudomonadota; Betaproteobacteria; Burkholderiales; Comamonadaceae. The record is from RNAcentral.